Long non-coding RNA from Syngnathus typhle (broad-nosed pipefish), 2415 nucleotides. RefSeq lists it as uncharacterized. The record is from RefSeq and is a predicted model, not a curated record. NCBI's taxonomy places the organism in Eukaryota, Metazoa, Chordata, Actinopteri, Syngnathiformes, Syngnathidae. The transcript is spliced from 2 exons.
ACAAAAAAAAUUACAUCCAGCCUAGUUAAGACCAUACCAAAGACUAUAAAAAUGGGACCCAUUGCCUCCCUGCGUGUGUGACGAUCAUUGGGACUUAAAAAAAAAAAAAAAAUUAAAAAAAUUCAUAAAAAUUGGGUGCGUAUUAUACAUGGGUACAAGCUUUUUUCCAGCAUCAGCAUGCCAUUUUUAGGGGUGCGUACUAUACAUGGGGGCGCACUAUACACGGAAAAAAACGGUAAUUUAUUGUGCGCAUUAUACAUGGGUACAAUUUUUUUUUAAAUUUUAUUUUUUAAUUAUUUUUUUUGAAGAAAAUCAUGGUACAACAAUUUUUGAAGAAAAUCUUGUCACGGAUGGAGUGUGGAAAGGAGCAGGGCGACCAAGUGCAGCUUGGACCAGGGUUCAUUGGAGGAACUCAAAACACAGACUUGGUAAACUAACAUAACUCUCUAACAAAACCAACAACAGGACUGACCGACAAAGACGUGGAACAAAAAGACAGGGUGACAUUACCAAAGACAGGAAGAGAAACCUGUGUUAUUGUCAAAUAUUGUUUGUUUUUUAAUCUCCAUCGCGGACUCGCCGUCAUACGGAGGCAGUAUCACUGCGCAUGCGCACUAUGGAUCCGAUGUGAAUAGUCCUCUUCUCUUCUUGACUGACAAUGAAUGUGAUAGUUUAAUACAAUCAGCAAAUAACAAAAUGCGUAUUACAGGUAAUAUUUUACUUCACAACACUUUGCCUCGUUCCUUUUAACUCUGCUGUUCACUUCAAACACGCUCCAUACGAACGCAAUGCUCUCGUAUCAGACGCUUGCUCGAUCACCUGCUCGUUUGCUGACACAAUGUACCCUACACAAAUCUGAAACAUUUGUUGCGGCUCCGAGUCACGACGUGGGGCAAGUUUGGGUUUCCAAGGGUGUUUUUAUUCCUCUUCAACUUCUCUCCCAUACCCUUUUUCACAUGUCCACACGUCACUUUCCUCUCUUUUCAUGUUAGACUUAGACUUAGACAGACUUUAUUGUCAUUUUGUAAACACUCAGUGCACACAAAACGAAAUUACGUUGCAUACGGCUCUCAACAAAGGAAUGACAUUUCGGCUGGAUAAAAAGUGACAUUUCUAUAUAAAUAGUAUGAAACAAGAUAAGAUAAAUAAGAUAAAUAUAAAGUGCAGCAAUGAAGGACCAAAAACAGUAUUUACAAAGUGCGCAGGGGAAUGCUAAGUUGACUGUUCAACAGUCUGACGACAGUAGGGAAAAAACUAUUGCAGAACCUGGUAGACCUGCAGCUGAUGCUGCGAAACUUCUUCCCAGAGGGUAGCAGGGAGAACAGUCUUUGGUGGGGGUGUGAUGGGUCACUAAUAAUAUUUUGGGCUCGGGACACGCAGCGCUGGGAUGACAAGUCCUGAAUGGAGGGAAGAGGAGCCCCGAUGAUCCUCUCUGCUGUCCUCACCACUCUCCUUACGUUCUUCCAAUCGGAGGCGCUGCAACCCCCACACCACACCGAGAGACAGCUCGUCAGAAUGCUCUCUAUGGUGCUUCGGUAGAACGUUCUCAUGAUGGGUGGGGGCAGUCCAGGUGAGGUCGUCUGUGAUGUGGACCCCCAGGAAUUUAGUGCUGCUGACCACCUCCACAUCUGAGCUGUUGAUGAUCAGUGGAGCGUGGUGAGGCUGGUUCUUCCUGAAGUCGACGAUGAUCUCCUUCAUCUUCUCCACAUUCAGGAUCAGGCCAUUGUCUCUGCACCAGCCCACCAACUGCUCCACCUCCUCUCUAUAGUCCAGGUCGUCGUUAUCGCUGAUGAGGCCCACCACCGUUGUGUCGUCUGCAAACUUCACAAUGUGAUUGGUGGUGAACCUGGGGACGCAGUCGUCUGUCAUCAGGGUGAACAGCAGGGGGCUCAGGACGCAGCCCUGAGGGGAGCCUGUGCUGAGGGUGAUGACAUCUGAGGUGUUCUGUCCGACCCGGACUGACUGAGGUCUGUUGGUGAGGAAGUCUAGCAGCCAGUUCCGAAGGGGGGUGCCGAAGCCCAGGCGUUCCAGUUUUCCCACCAGAUGCUGUGGAAUUUUUUAACCUAACUGAUUGCGGUGGUGCCUUUACGGGCAGUCGGAGAAAUCAACGCCAACAAAAUAAAUACAUCCAGCCUAGUUAAGACCAUACCAAAAACGAUAAAAAUGGGACCCAUUACCUCCCUGUUUGGCACUCAGCAUUAAGGGUUGGAAUUGGGGGGGUUAGAUCACCAAAUGAUUCCCGAGCGUGGCGCCGCUGCUGCUCACUGCUCCCCUCUCACCCAGGGGAUGGAUCAAAAUCACACAGGGAUGGGUCAAAUGCAGAGGACAAAUUUCACCACACCCAGAUGCGUGUGUGACGAUCAUUGGGACUUAAAAAAAAAAAAAGAUUUGGGUGCGUAUUAUACAUGGGGUACA